AACGAACGCUGGCGGCAUGCCUAACACAUGCAAGUCGAACGAUUGCCUUCGGGUGAUAGUGGCGCACGGGUGCGUAACGCGUGGUAAUCUGCCCUUAGGUUCGGAAUAACAGCUGGAAACGGCUGCUAAUACCGGAUGAUAUCGCGAGAUCAAAGAUUUAUCGCCUGAGGAUGAGCCCGCGUUGGAUUAGGUAGUUGGUGGGGUAAAGGCCUACCAAGCCGCCGAUCCAUAGCUGGUCUGAGAGGAUGAUCAGCCACACUGGGACUGAGACACGGCCCAGACUCCUACGGGAGGCAGCAGUGGGGAAUAUUGGACAAUGGGCGCAAGCCUGAUCCAGCAAUGCCGCGUGAGUGAUGAAGGCCCUAGGGUUGUAAAGCUCUUUUACCCGGGAAGAUAAUGACGGUACCGGGAGAAUAAGCCCCGGCUAACUCCGUG
RNAcentral lists this ribosomal RNA (435 nucleotides) under uncultured bacterium. RNAcentral describes it as "partial 16S ribosomal RNA". It matches the Rfam family "Bacterial small subunit ribosomal RNA", at positions 29 to 507 of the family's 1533-position model. The record is from RNAcentral.